AAUAGAUACCCCGGUAGUCCACCCCGUAAACGUUGGGAACUAGUUGUGGGGUCCUUUCCACGGAUUCCGUGACGCAGCUAACGCAUUAAGUUCCCCGCCUGGGGAGUACGGCCGCAAGGCUAAAACUCAAAGGAAUUGACGGGGAACCCGCACGAAGCGGCGGAGCAUGCGGAUUAAUUCGAUGCAACGCGAAGAACCUUACCAAGGCUUGACAUACACCGGAAACGGCCAGAGAUGGUCGCCCCGCAAGGUCGGUGUACAGGUGGUGCAUGGUUGUCGUCAGCUCGUGUCGUGAGAUGUUGGGUUAAGUCCCGCAACGAGCGCAACCCGUCGUUCUAUGUUGCCAGCACGUAAUGGUGGGAACUCAUGGGAUACUGCCGGGGUCAACUCGGAGGAAGGUGGGGAUGACGUCAAAGUCAUCAUGCCCCUUAUGUCUUGGGCUUCACGCAUGCUACAAUGGCCGGUACAAAGGGCUGCAAUACCGUGAGGUGGAGCGAAUCCCAAGAAGCCGGUCCCAGUUCGGAUUGAGGUCUGCAACUCGACCUCA
Molecule: ribosomal RNA, 547 nt
Filed under: uncultured bacterium
Lineage: Bacteria
Description: bacterial SSU rRNA
Rfam family: Bacterial small subunit ribosomal RNA
Source: RNAcentral